AUUGAACGCUGGCGGAAUGCUUUACACAUGCAAGUCGAACGGCAGCACGGACUUCGGUCUGGUGGCGAGUGGCGAACGGGUGAGUAAUGUAUCGGAACGUGCCCAGUCGUGGGGAUAACGUAGUGAAAAUUACGCUAAUAACGCAUACGAUCUAUGGAUGAAAGCGGGGGAUCGCAAUCCCACGCGCGAUUGGAGCGGCCGAUAUCAGAUUAGGUAGUUGGUAGGGUAAAGGCCCACCAAGCCAACGAUCUGUAGCUGGUCUGAGAGGACGACCAGCCACACUGGAACUGAGACACGGUCCAGACUCCUACGGGAGGCAUCAGUGGGGAAUUUUGGACGAUGGGCGAAAGCCUGAUCCAGCCAUUCCGCGUGCAGGAUGAAGGCCCUCUGGUUGUAAACUGCUUAUGUACAGAACGAAAAGGUUUCUACUAAUACUAGGAGCUCAUGACGGUACUGUAAGAAUAAGCACCGGCUAACUACGUGCCAGCCGCCGCCGUAA
This 499-nucleotide ribosomal RNA is filed under the name uncultured bacterium. RNAcentral describes it as "partial 16S ribosomal RNA". It matches the Rfam family "Bacterial small subunit ribosomal RNA", at positions 30 to 523 of the family's 1533-position model. The record is from RNAcentral.